AUACGGAGGGUACGAGCGUUGUUCGGAAUUACUGGGCGUAAAGCGCGUGUCGGCGGCCGUAAAAGUCGGGUGUGAAAGCCCUGGGCUCAACCCGGGAACUGCGUUUAAAACUGGCGGACUAGAGUCCGGGAGAGGGUGGCGGAAUUCCCAGUGUAGAGGUGAAAUUCGUAGAUAUUAGGAAGAACACCAGUGGCGAAGGCGGCUUACUGGCUCGAUACUGACGCUGAGGCGCGAAAGCGUGGGGAGCAAACAGGAUUAGAAACCCCGGUAGUCC
This 274-nucleotide ribosomal RNA is filed under the name uncultured bacterium. RNAcentral describes it as "partial 16S ribosomal RNA". It matches the Rfam family "Bacterial small subunit ribosomal RNA", at positions 523 to 796 of the family's 1533-position model. The record is from RNAcentral.